AUUGAACGCUGGCGGCAGGCCUAACACAUGCAAGUCGAGCGGAUGAAGGGAGCUUGCUCCUGGAUUCAGCGGCGGACGGGUGAGUAAUGCCUAGGAAUCUGCCUGGUAGUGGGGGAUAACGUCCGGAAACGGGCGCUAAUACCGCAUACGUCCUGAGGGAGAAAGUGGGGGAUCUUCGGACCUCACGCUCUCAGAUGAGCCUAGGUCGGAUUAGCUAGUUGGUGGGGUAAAGGCCUACCAAGGCGACGAUCCGUAACUGGUCUGAGAGGAUGAUCAGUCACACUGGAACUGAGACACGGUCCAGACUACUACGGGAGGCAGCAGUGGGGAAUAUUGGACAAUGGGCGAAAGCAUGAUCCAGCCAUGCCGCGUGUGUGAAGAAGGUCUUCGGAUUGUAAAGCACUUUAAGUUGGGAGGAAGGGCAGUAAGUUAAUACCUUGCUGUUUUGACGUUACCAACAGAAUAAGCACCGGCUAACUUCGUG
This 484-nucleotide ribosomal RNA is filed under the name uncultured bacterium. Its description in RNAcentral is "partial 16S ribosomal RNA". It matches the Rfam family "Bacterial small subunit ribosomal RNA", at positions 30 to 507 of the family's 1533-position model. The record is from RNAcentral.